UGCUUUUUCUACAGUAUGGGAUAAUCUGACAGUCCCAGAGGGGUAAGACAAAGCAUAAGGCACAAGAAUCUAGUCUGAAAUGGAGGAUAAAGCCUUUAUAUAGAAACUUGGGAGGCAUAAGAUGCAUGCUCCAGGUACAAAAAGUCAGAGUCUUCAGAGAGGUCGGAAGGCUCCAAACGAGAAAGGCUACUGCGACGACCCAAGGAGUCUAGACUUGAUUGGUCAUCAUCAGCCAAGACGUGAUUAUGCAUCAGGAACCAUUCCAAAGCAUACCAAUGGAAGGGAAACUUGACCUGAACAUGUGGUUUGAAGAAAAGGAAAACUGAAACAAAUGUGAAGAAUAAUUCUCAAAAUGAA
Elgaria multicarinata webbii is the source of this 357-nucleotide long non-coding RNA. RefSeq lists it as uncharacterized. The record is from RefSeq and is a predicted model, not a curated record. Lineage: Eukaryota; Metazoa; Chordata; Lepidosauria; Squamata; Anguidae. The transcript has 3 exons.